AUGAACGCUGACAGAAUGCUUAACACAUGCAAGUCUUUGGCGAAGCUGUGCUUGCACAGCCUAGCCAAGGCGGACGGGUGAGUAACGCGUAAGGAACUUGCCCUGCAGUCAGGGAUAACAGACGGAAACGACUGAUAAGACCUGGUAAAGUCAGGCGGACUCAUGUCCAGCCUGAUGAAAAGAGAUGCUGCAGGAGAGCCUUGCGUCCUAUUAGCUUGUUGGUGGGGUAACGGCCCACCAAGGCGAUGAUAGGUAGCCGGCCUGAGAGGGUGGACGGCCACAAGGGGACUGAGAUACGGCCCUUACUCCUACGUGAGGCAGCAGUGGGGAAUAUUGGACAAUGGGGGCAACCCUGAUCCAGCAAUUCUGUGUGAACGAUGAAGGUUUUCGGAUUGUAAAGUGCUUUCAGCAGGGAAGAAAAAAAUGACGGUACCUGCAGAAGAAGCGACGGCUAAAUACGUG
Molecule: ribosomal RNA, 462 nt
Filed under: uncultured bacterium
Lineage: Bacteria
Description: partial 16S ribosomal RNA
Rfam family: Bacterial small subunit ribosomal RNA
Source: RNAcentral